RNAcentral lists this ribosomal RNA (428 nucleotides) under Bacillus sp. IG2. RNAcentral describes it as "bacterial SSU rRNA". It matches the Rfam family "Bacterial small subunit ribosomal RNA", at positions 1105 to 1533 of the family's 1533-position model. Lineage: Bacteria; Bacillati; Bacillota; Bacilli; Caryophanales; Bacillaceae. The record is from RNAcentral.
UUGAUCUUAGUUGCCAGCAUUCAGUUGGGCACUCUAAGGUGACUGCCGGUGACAAACCGGAGGAAGGUGGGGAUGACGUCAAAUCAUCAUGCCCCUUAUGACCUGGGCUACACACGUGCUACAAUGGACAGAACAAAGGGCAGCGAAACCGCGAGGUUAAGCCAAUCCCACAAAUCUGUUCUCAGUUCGGAUCGCAGUCUGCAACUCGACUGCGUGAAGCUGGAAUCGCUAGUAAUCGCGGAUCAGCAUGCCGCGGUGAAUACGUUCCCGGGCCUUGUACACACCGCCCGUCACACCACGAGAGUUUGUAACACCCGAAGUCGGUGAGGUAACCUUUAUGGAGCCAGCCGCCGAAGGUGGGACAGAUGAUUGGGGUGAAGUCGUAACAAGGUAGCCGUAUCGGAAGGUGCGGCUGGAUCACCUCCUUU